AUUUCAUAGGUUUGAGACGUCAAGGACACAGACCCAUACGCCCGUGACCCUUGGAAGGACUUUCGGAUAGUAUGAGGGAAGAAUAAAAAGCCCGAUUCAAGAUAAGUUAGAUGAGUUUAGUUUGCUAAAAUAUAUCCCUUCACAACUGCAUUUUGUCUGCUAAAAUUUAAACCAGAUGAUGUGUUUUUCUCUUAACCCUUGCCCAAUUCUCCAGUGGGAGAACUAAUAUUUUUACUGAUGGAGCCCAGCAGUUUGCCAAAGACAUCAGCAAAGAACUUGAAGAUGGAAUGGGGCAGGCCGAACCUCUUACUAAGAAUACCCAAAAGGCGCUAAGACGACACUGCAGAAGGUAUUUCAUCGGUAAAUCCGCAAGCAUAAAUGAACUGACAGGCGCAGAAGGCGCUCAUUGCUGACUGAGGCAUUUUGGUCUGACCCUGAGAUAGCAGGGUCAGCGAGGUCCUGAGCUCCGAUGAGACCGGAGCCAUGAUUGUAAAAGCGUCUGGAUGGAAGAACCCAUUGCUAACAUUUGCUCCCUCAUCCCGAACACCCGCUUCCUAUGGACCAGAAUAGAUAACUAGGUGAAUCUUAAAGGUAAAGUCCCCAGCCGGGAAGAACUGUUACAUCCGGGUUGAAAGUUAACUCUCCUGUGACCGUGAUUGGAGCUGUGAGAAUGGAAUGUAACCACCCAAUGCAGUCAAGGCUGUGAAACCCUACAAAAGGAGGGGCUGUAACCCAGUGCGUUGUUGGCUUAUUGCGAUCGACCCUCAUCGAUGAGUACAUUUGCUGUUUUACCUCCACUCUGCUGCCUCUCUGUGUCACUUACUGAUCCCUUCCGGAACAUUUGGUGCGUUGGCCGGGAAGGAAGGGACUAAGUGACACAGCCCGAGUCGGGCCUCCACCAGAGUCCCGAUGCAGGCAGCGGCUGUCCGCCUCCUCGGAGGGGAAGAGGCGCCCCGGGAUUUCCGGGGUUCCCUUUCCAGGACGCGGAGGCCGGCUCGCCAGCAGCGGAUCCUGAAACCCGGAGCAGAGAUGGCAGAAGGAAGGCGAGAGAGCGGAGUCGUCUGAAUAGCCCUCCCGGCGUUAUGGAGCUUGUGUGGGUCGGUCCUGCGAGUCUGUGGCCACGCUUAGAAAGGACAAAACGGAGACUCUUGCGACAAGAAACUCUCCAGCGUCUGAGCAGGCCUGAAAUAGCUCGGAAGCUCACAGCCAGGCUGACGAGUGAAUGAGGCCGUCUUCUGAACAGCGCCCGACCAUCUGUCUGGCAUCACCGGACAAGGGAAUAUCCAGUGGUCAUGGGGAACGCAAAUACUAAACCAACUGCUCUUAAGCGCAUGAUUCAGAAUUUUGAUAAAGGUUUUGUGAGGACUAUGGAAUAAAACUGCAACCAAAGAUGCUUAAGAAAAUUUGUGAGUUGUCGUGGCCUCAACUAAGCCAGACUUGGUCCCC
RNAcentral lists this long non-coding RNA (1446 nucleotides) under Fukomys damarensis (Damara mole-rat). RNAcentral describes it as "lncRNA (ENSFDAG00000030784.1)". Lineage: Eukaryota; Metazoa; Chordata; Mammalia; Rodentia; Bathyergidae. The record is from RNAcentral.